AACAACCAUUGCAAAUUUGCAAUAUUGCAUAGUGCCGUGACUGCCGUCACCUAGGGCUUUCACAGCACUAACACUCCCAAGUCCCAAGUCCCAAGUCCCAAGUCCCAAUUCCCAAAUCGAAGCUGCUCUCUGCCUCUCCGGCCUCUGCCAGUCCGCCGCGCUCUACGUCUCCUGUCGGCUGUGUCCUGCCGUGCUGGUUCAUCGCUGCCGAGUGUCGAAGACGAAGCACCAAGAUCUCACUAGUUCAUCGCUGGUUCAUCACUGCUUAUCUCUGGCUCACUUAGGGCUUUCACAGCACUAACACUCCCAAGUCCCAAGUCCCAAGUCCCAAGUCCCAAUUCCCAAAUCGAAGCUGCUCUCUGCCUCUCCGGCCUCUGCCAGUCCGCCGCGCUCUACGUCUCCUGUCGGCUGUGUCCUGCCGUGCUGGUUCAUCGCUGCCGAGUGUCGAAGACGAAGCACCAAGAUCUCACUAGUUCAUCGCUGGUUCAUCACUGCUUAUCUCUGGCUCACUUAGGUAAGUGCUCCUCUGUUUUUGGCUCUGUGUCUCUGGCAUUAAAAUGGGCCAAGAUCGACUAGGAAAUUUGUUAUCCUGAAUUGAUAAGGGGACGAAAUCUGAGCUUCCAAUUGCAAACUCUAACUGUUGUAGUAGUUUAGAUUAGGUGUUAUAUAACAUAAGCUUUGUAUUUUAUACACAAGAAGCUCUCUCCAGUUGUGCAGCCUUUAAAAAUUAAGGCCUUGGGGAAAAAUUCCACCUUUUA
Molecule: long non-coding RNA, 758 nt
Organism: Coffea eugenioides
Lineage: Eukaryota; Viridiplantae; Streptophyta; Magnoliopsida; Gentianales; Rubiaceae
Exons: 2
Source: RefSeq, a predicted model, not a curated record